This 212-nucleotide unclassified non-coding RNA is filed under the name plant metagenome. RNAcentral describes it as "partial contains small subunit ribosomal RNA, internal transcribed spacer 1, and 5.8S ribosomal RNA". The record is from RNAcentral.
UCUCCGUUGGUGAACCAGCGGAGGGAUCAUUACAGGAUCGAAAGACUCCUAUAACCCCUGUGAACAUACUACAAAUACGUUGCUUCGGCGGGUGCCCCGGGUCUCCCGGGGCGUUCAGCCCGCCGGCAGCCUUCAAAUUCUGUUUCUUUGCGUUGGCAUCUCGAGUAUACAAAAAUAAGUUAAAACUUUCAACAACGGAUCUCUUGGCUCUC